This 24-nucleotide non-coding RNA is filed under the name Arabidopsis thaliana (thale cress). The record is from RNAcentral. Lineage: Eukaryota; Viridiplantae; Streptophyta; Magnoliopsida; Brassicales; Brassicaceae.
UGAAAAGAUGUAACUGGUAAGAAU